This 385-nucleotide ribosomal RNA is filed under the name Leptolyngbya sp. A4. Its description in RNAcentral is "bacterial SSU rRNA". It matches the Rfam family "Bacterial small subunit ribosomal RNA", at positions 357 to 757 of the family's 1533-position model. The record is from RNAcentral. Lineage: Bacteria; Bacillati; Cyanobacteriota; Cyanophyceae; Leptolyngbyales; Leptolyngbyaceae.
GGGAAUUUUCCGCAAUGGGCGAAAGCCUGACGGAGCAAUACCGCGUGAGGGAGGACGGCUUUUGGGUUGUAAACCUCUUUUAUCAGGGAAGAAUCGAUGACGGUACCUGAUGAAUCAGCAUCGGCUAACUCCGUGCCAGCAGCCGCGGUAAUACGGAGGAUGCAAGCGUUAUCCGGAAUUAUUGGGCGUAAAGCGUCCGUAGGUGGUUUAUCAAGUCUGCUGUCAAAGCGUGCGGCUUAACCGCAUAAGGGCAGUGGAAACUGAUGAACUAGAGUGCGAUAGGGGUAACAGGAAUUCCCAGUGUAGCGGUGAAAUGCGUAGAUAUUGGGAAGAACACCAGCGGCGAAAGCGUGUUACUGGGUCUGCACUGACACUGAGGGACGAA